RNAcentral lists this ribosomal RNA (497 nucleotides) under uncultured bacterium. RNAcentral's name for it is "partial 16S ribosomal RNA". It matches the Rfam family "Bacterial small subunit ribosomal RNA", at positions 28 to 507 of the family's 1533-position model. The record is from RNAcentral.
GAUGAACGCUGGCGGCGUGCCUAAUACAUGCAAGUCGAGCGAACAGACGAGGAGCUUGCUCCUUUGACGUUAGCGGCGGACGGGUGAGUAACACGUAUGUAACCUACCUAUAAUACUGGUAUAACUUCGGGAAACCGGAGCUAAUACCGUAUAAUAUUUCGAACCGCAUGGUUCGAUAGUGAAAGAUGGCUUUGCUAUCACUUAUAGAUGGACCUGCGCCGUAUUAGCUAGUUGGUAAGGUAACGGCUUACCAAGGCAACGAUACGUAGCCGACCUGAGAGGGUGAUCGGCCACACUGGAACUGAGACACGGUACAGACUACUACGGGAGGCAGCAGUAGGGAAUCUUCCGCAAUGGGCGAAAGCCUGACGGAGCAACGCCGCGUGAGUGAUGAAGGUCUUCGGAUCGUAAAACUCUGUUAUUAGGGAAGAACAAACGUGUAAGUAACUGUGCACGUCUUGACGGUACCUAAUCAGAAAGCCACGGCUAACUACGUG